GAUGACUAUGGAUAGACGAGGCCAAAUAUAUUUCAUUCCUUGGAUUGUUGAUCGACAUUGGAUGUUGGUGCUCGUGAUGAUGCGGGGGAUGACCAUAAUUUUGGACCCUUUAAAAAAUCAUAAAUCUCCACCAAUAAUUACGGAGGUUAUGGAAAAAGCAUACGCACAAUGUUUGGAAAAUGAAUACAUCGGCACAUUUACAAAAUUGGUGAGAGGUUCUUGUCCAAAACAACCUGAAAGUCAUGAAUGUGGUUAUUAUGUACUAAGAUACAUUUAUGAUCUUGUAAAUGCACCGAAUCCAGCAGA
Molecule: long non-coding RNA, 306 nt
Organism: Humulus lupulus (European hop)
Lineage: Eukaryota; Viridiplantae; Streptophyta; Magnoliopsida; Rosales; Cannabaceae
Exons: 3
Source: RefSeq, a predicted model, not a curated record